ACCAACAACAAAAAGGACAAGCAAGUGAAGCAGCACAAAGCAGACAGGAGACAAAGGCUAGAGGAGAUGGAGCAAUUCCAGGGAAGAUGAGUGAACAUAUAUACGAGAAUGACAAACAUGAAAAUGAGUAUGAGAAUGAUAUGUAUGAAAAUGUAAAGCUUGA
This is a long non-coding RNA of Carassius auratus (goldfish), 163 nucleotides long. RefSeq lists it as uncharacterized. NCBI's taxonomy places the organism in Eukaryota, Metazoa, Chordata, Actinopteri, Cypriniformes, Cyprinidae. The record is from RefSeq and is a predicted model, not a curated record. The transcript has 3 exons.